Long non-coding RNA from Hypomesus transpacificus, 178 nucleotides. RefSeq lists it as uncharacterized. The transcript is spliced from 3 exons. The record is from RefSeq and is a predicted model, not a curated record. NCBI's taxonomy places the organism in Eukaryota, Metazoa, Chordata, Actinopteri, Osmeriformes, Osmeridae.
UUGCACUCGGACUACAUCAUGGAUAUCGGAGACCCCGUCCACAACCCCAUCUGGCGCUGGUGGAAGGACCAGGUUGAGUAUAAUGACUACUACUUCUACAUGGCCAGCAACGCUGUGGCGUCCUCGGGCUUCAACGUGGAGAUGGAGAGCUACCAGCGGACCUACUUGAGCUCUGAGA